ACAUUGGGCCUGAGAGUUCAUAGAUGUUGACGGAUGGUGUGUCAGCCCCCAUGGGGCUCUGCAGCCUAGAAAGUAGCAGGACCAGGAAGUCAGCAGGUGGAGGUGGCAAGUGAACAGAGGAUGCGUCUUUUUCUCCCUUCCUUUGUCAUCUUUCUCCAUGUGGGUUUUUAUAUUUAUUUACUUAUACUUAGUUUUAUUCCAAAACUUCUUUGAACUGGGUCAUAAAGCCAACUGCAUAUUGUAAAGUAGAAGAAACUAAGCUCUGAGAAAUCAGGUAAAAAGUGGCAAGUGAUAGCUGGUGAUGGAACGCUACCUAUCCUGGCUUACCCUUUUGCAAAUGUUACCUGGGUGAGACAAAGACAUUUGAACCCUGAGGUUUCUUGUAUUGGUUUUGCUUUGUUUUUCUUGGUAUAGACCUAGGAGUGUAAUUGCCCGGUCAUAGGGUGGCUUUAGUAGACACUGCCAGUUUUCCAAAGUGGGUGUCCUAAUUGUCACUCCACUAGCCACGUAUGAGUGUUUCAAACAGCAUAUUCUUCUCAACAUUUGAUGCUAGGUUUUUUUUUUUUUUGUAGAUCUUAGCCAUUUUGGUGAAUAGAUAGUGGUAUCUUGGCAUAGUGGUAUCUCAUUGAGCUUUUACUUUGCAUUUCCGUGAAAAACAAUGCUUUUGAGCACUUUUUGAUAUGUUUAUUGGUCAUUUGAGUAUUUUGUUAUGAAAUGCCUGUUAUUUUGCCUAUUUUUUUAAAAAAAAUUGGGAUUUUUGUGUUCUAAUUACUAGACAUUCUUCCUACAUGUUCUACAUAGAAGUCUUCUGUUGGAUAUGUGUUGUGAAUAUCUUCACAUAUUCUGUGGCUUUUUUUCACUCUCUUAAUAGUGUCUUUUGAUGAACAAAAGUUCUUAGUUUUAAGUAAGUCUAAUUUGUCAGUGGUUUCUUUCAUAGUUAGUGUUUUGGGAUCUUUUGCAAGAAAUCUUUGCCUACCUUAAGCCAAGAAGAUAUUAUACUACCUGCUCUAGAAGCUUUACUAUUUUAUCUUUCAUAUUUAGGUCUAUGAUUCAUUUGAAAUAAAUUUUUGUGUAUGGUAUGAGGUAGGGUGUUCAAUUGCUCCAACAAUACCAUUUCAUGAAGUGACCAUCGUUUUCCCCACUGAAAUGUGGCGGUGUCUUUGUUGUAAAUUUGGUGACCUUAUGUGUGUGUUUCUCUUUCUUGUAGUCUCUGUUGAUUUAUAUGUUUAUCUUUAUGCCCAUAUCAUGUUGUCUUAGUUAUUGUAACUUUAUAUGAAGUUAAAACAUUGUGAUUCUUUUUCAAGACUCUUUUGGCUAACUUUGGUCUUUUGCAUUUUCAUUUAUAUUUUAAAAUCAAUUUGUCAAUUUCCACAAACAAUUCCACUUGAAUUUUAUUAAAAUUAUAUUGAAUCUAUGAAUCAGUUGGGGAUAACUUACAUAUUAAUAUUUAGUCUUCAAUCCACAAAUAUACCUUUCCAUUUAUUUUGGCUUUCUUUAAUUUCUCUCAGCAAAAGUUCUAUGAUUUUCAGUGUAGUGUUCUGGAACAUCUUUUGUUAGAUUUACCUUUAUUGUUAGUGGUUUUGAUGCUUUUGAAAAGGAUAUUGUUUUUCUAUUUUUAUUUAAACUUAUAAUUUGCUAGUAUACAAAAAUACAAUUGAUUUUUGCAUAUUAACCUUGAAUCCAGAUACUUUACUGAAGUUACUAAUUAAUUCUAAUAGUUCAUUUCUUUAGAUUUUCCAAGUAUAUAGUCAUCUGCAAAUAAUGGUAGUUACAUUUCCUCCCUUUUGGGUUUAUUCUUUUCAUUUCUUUUUAUCACCUGAUUGCAUUAUCUAGGAUUUCUAGUAAGUGUUAAAUGGAAAUGGUGACAGUAGACAUUUUUGUCUUGUUCUCAAAUUGAGUGGGGAAGUAUUUAGUAUUUCACAUUUAAGUAUAGUGUUAGCCAUAGGGUUUUGUUUGUUUAUAUACUUCAUUAUAUUAAAAAAGUUACUUUCUAUUCUUAGUUUUCUGAGAGUUAAAAAUCAUGAACAGAUAUUUUAUUAUAUUUUAGCUUUUUCUGGAUCUAUUGAAAUUAUCAUAUAUUUUUCCCCUUUAUUUUGUCAAUCUGGUGAUAUACAUUUCCUGAUUUUUUUUUUUUUUUUUUUUGAGACGAGAGUCUUGCUCUGUUGCCCAGGUUGGAGUGCAAUGGCACAAUCUUGGCUCACUGCAACCUCCACCUCCUAGGUUCAAGCAAUUCUCCUGCCUCAGCCUCCUGAGUAGCUGGGAUUACAGGCACGCACCACCAUGUCUGGCUAAUUUUUGUAUUUUUAGUAGAGACAGGGUUUCAUCAUGUUGGCCAGGCUGGUCUCGAACUCCUGACCUCGUGACCUGCCUCAGCCUCCCAAAGUGCUGGGAUUACAGGUGUGAGCCACGGCACCCGGCCUCCUGAUUUUUUUUUAAUGGAGUGUUUUACAAAUUUAUGUGUUAUCCUAGUGCAGGGGCCAUGCUAAUCUUCUCUGUAUUGUUCCGAUUUUAGUGUAUGUGUUGCCGAAACAAGCAUGAUUUCCUGAUUUUUAAAUGUUAAAGAAUUCUUGCAUUCCUGGAAUAAGUCUCACUUAGUCAUGAUGUAUUAUUCUUUUUACCUAUUGCUGGAUUUGACUUGCUAAUGUUUUGUUGCAGUUUUCCCAUCUCUGUCCACGAGAGAUAGUAACCUCUACUUUUCAUUUUUGUAAUGCUUUUGUCAGGUUGUAUAUCAGAAUUAUGCUAUCCUUCUCUAGUGAGUUAGAGUGUGUUCCUUUUUUCUUUCUUCACUGGAAGAGUUUGUGUAAGAUUGGUUAUUUUCUUUCUUAAAUGUAUGUUUUGAAGAACUUGCAAGUGAAGUCAUCUGGGCCUGGAAUGUUUUGGCUAGGAAAGGCAUCUGGGAAUCUUGAUGUUUACUUUCUCUUUGUAUUUUUUUUUCCUUAAGAUGUUUGCAGUGGUCCAGAAGAAGGAGAUUUCCUGUGAGAUCUUUUCCAAUCACUUCAAGGAGAAUAAGUGCUCCCCUUUUCCCAGAAAAGGGAUGGAAAAGAGACAACAAAAAUGCCCAGCUUUCAACCAACCUGUAAACAAGGGGCCAUCCAUUCUGGAACCAGAACAGAAACCUCUGAGCCUGUCUAGGAUGUGAAGUCAACAUAUAUAAAGCCAGAAUGUUCUAUCCUUGGCCCAGGUGAUGCUCUUGGAACACAGCAAGCAAACACAUGCACCCAAGUAGUGCCUAGGGAACUCGAGGCUCUCCAAGUAAAAAAGGAGAGAGGGUCAGAAGAGAUGCCCAGCAGACUGCCACAUGGUAGACAAGAGUUCCCUUUCUGGUAAAAUGGCCAUUACUGUCAAGUUUUCUCAAGCAAGAAAUUCAGGAAUCUUGCCAGGCAAGUGGCUCACACCUAUAAUCCCAGCACUUUGGAAGGCUGAGGCGGGCAGAUUA
This is a long non-coding RNA of Homo sapiens (human), 3436 nucleotides long. RefSeq lists it as uncharacterized. The transcript is spliced from 5 exons. Lineage: Eukaryota; Metazoa; Chordata; Mammalia; Primates; Hominidae. The record is from RefSeq and is a predicted model, not a curated record.